Molecule: ribosomal RNA, 525 nt
Filed under: uncultured spirochete
Lineage: Bacteria; Pseudomonadati; Spirochaetota; Spirochaetia; Spirochaetales
Description: bacterial SSU rRNA
Rfam family: Bacterial small subunit ribosomal RNA
Source: RNAcentral
GAGUUUGAUCCUGGCUCAGGACGAACGCUGGCGGCGUGGAUUACGCAUGCAAGUCGGACGAGAAAGUUACCUUCUUGUAAUUAGCACACUGGCGGACGGCUGAGUAACGCGUAGAUAUCUACCUUUUAGUUGGGGACAACUCACGGAAACCUGAGCUAGUACCGAAUGUGGCUGCCUAUCUAAAGGGGGCGCUAGGCUCCCGCUUACACAUGAGUCUGCGUCCAAUUAGUUAGAUGGUGGGGUAAUGGCUCACCAUGGCUCAUGAUUGGUAUGAUGCUUUAACGAGUGGUACGCCCACACUGGGAUUGAUAUACACGGCCACACUCCUACGACACGCUACAGACGAGAAUAGUCUACAAUGUUGCGAAACCCUGAUAGAGCUACACCACGUGUACCACGAAGCUUUUCGAGAGUGUACAGUUCUUUUCUGUAUGAGCAAUGCUUUAUUGGCUAAGAUAUAAUAUAGACAGAUAUUAUGACAUGAAUCAGCCACGGCUAACUCCGUAGCUGCAUGCGCGCUACAAC